UCCGAGUUGACCCCGGCAGUCUCCCAUGAGUCCCCACCAUCACGUGCUGGCAACAUGGAACGAGGGUUGCGCUCGUUGCGGGACUUAACCCAACAUCUCACGACACGAGCUGACGACAACCAUGCACCACCUGUGCAGGACCCUUGCGGACCCCGAAUCUCUACGGGAUUUCCCUGCAUGUCAAGCCUUGGUAAGGUUCUUCGCGUUGCAUCGAAUUAAGCAACAUGCUCCGCCGCUUGUGCGGGCCCCCGUCAAUUCCUUUGAGUUUCACCCUUGCGGGCGUACUCCCCAGGUGGAUGACUUAACGCUUUCGCUUGGACGCUAAGAGUAUAUCCCUAACAUCGAGUCAUCAUCGUUUACGGCGUGGACUAC
This 372-nucleotide unclassified non-coding RNA is filed under the name uncultured Actinomycetes bacterium. Its description in RNAcentral is "uncultured actinobacterium contains 16S-23S intergenic spacer region". The record is from RNAcentral. Lineage: Bacteria; Bacillati; Actinomycetota; Actinomycetes.